Molecule: ribosomal RNA, 303 nt
Filed under: uncultured bacterium
Lineage: Bacteria
Description: bacterial SSU rRNA
Rfam family: Bacterial small subunit ribosomal RNA
Source: RNAcentral
AACGAACGCUGGCGGCAUGCCUAACACAUGCAAGUCGAACGAGACCUUCGGGUCUAGUGGCGCACGGGUGCGUAACGCGUGGGAAUCUGCCCUUGGGUUCGGAAUAACAGUUAGAAAUGACUGCUAAUACCGGAUAAUGUCUUCGGACCAAAGAUUUAUCGCCCAGGGAUGAGCCCGCGUAGGAUUAGCUAGUUGGUGAGGUAAAGGCUCACCAAGGCGACGAUCCUUAGCUGGUCUGAGAGGAUGAUCAGCCACACUGGGACUGAGACACGGCCCAGACUCCUACGGAGGCAGCAGUGGGGG